This 189-nucleotide ribosomal RNA is filed under the name uncultured bacterium. Its description in RNAcentral is "partial 16S ribosomal RNA". It matches the Rfam family "Bacterial small subunit ribosomal RNA", at positions 338 to 524 of the family's 1533-position model. The record is from RNAcentral.
CCUACGGGAGGCAGCAGUGAGGAAUAUUGGUCAAUGGUCGGAAGACUGAACCAGCCAUGCCGCGUGCAGGAAGACGGUCCUAUGGAUUGUAAACUGCUUUUAUUUGGGAAUAAACUCUGAUACGUGUAUCAGCCUGAAGGUACCAAAUGAAUAAGCACCGGCUAACUCCGUGCCAGCAGCCGCGGUAAU